Molecule: ribosomal RNA, 244 nt
Filed under: uncultured bacterium
Lineage: Bacteria
Description: partial 16S ribosomal RNA
Rfam family: Bacterial small subunit ribosomal RNA
Source: RNAcentral
GAUCAUGGCUCAGGACGAACGCUGGCGGCGCGCCUAACACAUGCAAGUCGAACGGGCGAGAGGGAGCUUGCUUUCUCGAGCGAGUGGCGAACGGGUGAGUAACGCGUGAGGAACCUGCCUCAAAGAGGGGGACAACAGUUGGAAACGACUGCUAAUACCGCAUAAGCCCACGGGUCGGCAUCGACCAGAGGGAAAAGGAGCAAUCCGCUUUGAGAUGGCCUCGCGUCCGAUUAGCUAGUUGGUG